This is a non-coding RNA of Bos taurus (domestic cattle), 72 nucleotides long. NCBI's taxonomy places the organism in Eukaryota, Metazoa, Chordata, Mammalia, Artiodactyla, Bovidae. The record is from Rfam.
UCCCUGGUGGCUCAGAUGGUAAAGAAUCUGCCUGCAAUGCAGGAGACCCAGGUUCAAUCCCUGGGUUGGGAA